Molecule: unclassified non-coding RNA, 313 nt
Filed under: plant metagenome
Description: partial contains small subunit ribosomal RNA, internal transcribed spacer 1, and 5.8S ribosomal RNA
Source: RNAcentral
UUUCCGUUGGUGAACCUGCGGAAGGAUCAUUAUUGAAUGAACUUGGUAGUGGUUGUAGCUGGCUCUCUCGAGAGCAUGUGCACACCCGCCAUCUUUAUCUUUCCACCUGUGCACUUCUUGUAGACUUUGGGAUUUGAAAACUUAUCCGGGGCAACUCGGUCGGGAGGAGCUGCUGUAGCAAUACGGCUCUCCCUGACAAGUCUUCAAAGUCUAUGUUUUUCAUAUACCCCAUAGUAUGUAACAGAAUGUAUACAAAUGAGCCUUAGUGCUUAUAAAACUUAUACAACUUUCAACAACGGAUCUCUUGGCUCCC